Molecule: long non-coding RNA, 1898 nt
Organism: Raphanus sativus (radish)
Lineage: Eukaryota; Viridiplantae; Streptophyta; Magnoliopsida; Brassicales; Brassicaceae
Exons: 6
Source: RefSeq, a predicted model, not a curated record
GCGAAUGGGCUUGCAAAACACAAAUUCUUGAAAACACAUUAGUUCGCCCAAUAAACACUAAUAUGAUGAUGUCACAAACUCUGCAACGCUCAACCGUUUCUUCUUCCUUUCUCCCACAUCCCUCCAGUCACCUCACUAAUUAACCAUAAUAGAAGCGAGUGCAUGAAGCUCAACGUCGGCGGAGAAAUCUCCGAAACCACCACAUCGACCAUUCAAUCAACUUGCACAUACUCUCUCCUCGCUGCUCUCUCCACCGCAACCACCUAUGGAUCCAAUCCCGUCUUCACCGAUCGCAACCCGGAGAUCUUUUCCGUCACUCUCAACCUCCUUCGAAUUGGACGCCUCCCAGCUAACUCCUCCGGCGUCUUCUCCAAGCAGGAACUACUCAAUUAAGCUCUUUACUACGGAGUCGAGUCGCUCCUCCGGUCGGCGAUGCUGCCUUCUGCAGUUUUUUUAUUUACUUUUUCAUCUGAAAAGACGAGCUGCGUUUCAAAGCCGACAAAUUUAUGGUGCGCCGUAUCGACCACCUACAAGUGUUGGCGAACACAAACUUUGAGCUUCCAGAUGUCGUGGGUCAGAUCCACUCUGUUUAGGGGUCGGAUCUCCAAAACAACGCAGCCACAAGCAGAGUUGUUGUCCGCCUCUUACUCGAACCAUAAGUUUUUAUUUUAAUUUUUUUAAUGGUCUCAAGUUGUGUAUCAAAUUUUUAAAUGGUUUGGCCCGUUACCUCUUGAUUGUUGACGAUGUGUAAGGUUUCUGUCCUUUCAAUUGUUCUUCCACAAAACGGCGCUUUCUAUUCCGACGACUUCAUUCAUGUAACUCCAUCUCUUCGACUGCCGAUUAAACGAUUUGUCUUCGUAUAACGCGUUUUUCAGGCUCCUUUAUAUAGAGGGCGACGGAGGUGAGCUUUGAUUGCCUCAUAAUUUUCUUCCUACACUUUUUUCUACGUUUACCUCUGUAACUCCCGUUGCUAAUGCCGUCGUCGCCCACUCCACUUUCAACUCUCUUCGCCUUGGAAUAACUGCUCAGUACGUAGUUGGUACCUUUGCAAUCGCUUUGAUGUUCUGUGGUUAUCCUCAAAUGAAUUAAUUGGACUUACUAACAAAAUUCACUUUUUAGAUGCUUCAAAAUAGGCUCCUAUUGUUACUUCUCUUACGGAAUUCAUACGUAAAAAACGUGCUACUGUGAUUGGAUCCCAGCAACAGGGUUUAUUAGAUGGUCGAAGAGGAGGCAGAAGAGCCAGAGCAGUCUCUGCAAACAAGCCAAGUUCGAGACCUUCGAAACGAAACUCUGAGAAGAAAAAGUAUGUGGAAAAAGAAAAUUCAAAAGGUGUACCCGUACGGUUUCAUCAGACGUCAGCAGCUCCAAGCACGAUUACAAUCAGGCAAAUUCAAGUGGAAAGGACUUACCAGCAACUGAAAUUGUCUCUGUCAUGGAUAGCUCUCUCUCCCAGGUAUUGCAUUGACUAUGGAUUCCGGGAAGAAAAAGAUCAUGCUCCCUGUUAACUCUCCAUUACAAGCGGAACAGUAGCAGAUAUAAGCUAAUCUUUCUGCAAGCUCCUAAACUUCAAGACAGAAUCAGAAGACAGAUGUUUGUGGGAGGUUGAUCAAGGGAAUACUUCGGAGAAAGGAGCCGCAGUCUAUCCAGGCUGCCUCUUUGGUCUAACCUGAGCAAAAAGUGGAACCCACAGGAACACGAGAGAAAAAAAAACAUAUUACAAUUCUCUGUCUUUUAAAAAAAAACAAUUGGUAAAAUAAGAGAAUAUCCUAAAUCUUCUUAAAAAAUAUCAGAAUUCUAUGUUUUUUUCAAAAAAUUGUAAAAUAAGAGAAAUAAUUCAUUUUAUUGUUUGUUUAAACUGUUAAGUUUUUAAAUCUAAAUUUAUUAUCUUUUUUCAUACA